RNAcentral lists this ribosomal RNA (1249 nucleotides) under uncultured bacterium. RNAcentral's name for it is "partial 16S ribosomal RNA". The record is from RNAcentral.
CUCCGACUUCAUGGGGUCGAGUUGCAGACCCCAAUCCGAACUGAGACCGGCUUUUUGGGAUUCGCUCCACCUUACGGUAUCGCAGCCCUCUGUACCGGCCAUUGUAGCAUGCGUGAAGCCCAAGACAUAAGGGGCAUGAUGAUUUGACGUCAUCCCCACCUUCCUCCGAGUUGACCCCGGCAGUCUCCCAUGAGUCCCCGGCAUAACCCGCUGGCAACAUAGGACGAGGGUUGCGCUCGUUGCGGGACUUAACCCAACAUCUCACGACACGAGCUGACGACAACCAUGCACCACCUGUGUACGAGUGUCCAAAGAGAACCCCGUCUCGGGGGCUUUCUCGUACAUGUCAAGCCUUGGUAAGGUUCUUCGCGUUGCAUCGAAUUAAUCCGCAUGCUCCGCCGCUUGUGCGGGCCCCCGUCAAUUCCUUUGAGUUUUAGCCUUGCGGCCGUACUCCCCAGGCGGGGCACUUAAUGCGUUAGCUGCGGCACGGAACUCGUGGAAUGAGCCCCACACCUAGUGCCCAACGUUUACGGCAUGGACUACCAGGGUAUCUAAUCCUGUUCGCUCCCCAUGCUUUCGCUCCUCAGCGUCAGUUGCGGCCCAGAGACCUGCCUUCGCCAUCGGUGUUCCUCCUGAUAUCUGCGCAUUCCACCGCUACACCAGGAAUUCCAGUCUCCCCUACCGCACUCUAGUCUGCCCGUACCCGAUGCAAGCCCGAGGUUGAGCCUCGGGAUCUCACACCAGACGCGACAGACCGCCUACGAGCUCUUUACGCCCAAUAAUUCCGGACAACGCUUGCGCCCUACGUAUUACCGCGGCUGCUGGCACGUAGUUAGCCGGCGCUUCUUCUGCAGGUACCGUCACUUGCGCUUCUUCCCUGCUGAAAGAGGUUUACAACCCGAAGGCCGUCAUCCCUCACGCGGCGUCGCUGCAUCAGGCUUGCGCCCAUUGUGCAAUAUUCCCCACUGCUGCCUCCCGUAGGAGUCUGGGCCGUGUCUCAGUCCCAGUGUGGCCGGUCGCCCUCUCAGGCCGGCUACCCGUCGACGCCUUGGUAGGCCAUCACCCCACCAACAAGCUGAUAGGCCGCGAGCCCAUCCCCCACCGAAAAACUUUCCAACCCACACCAUGCGAUGCGAGCUCAUAUCCGGUAUUAGACCCCGUUUCCAAGGCUUAUCCCGAAGUGGAGGGCAGGUUGCUCACGUGUUACUCACCCGUUCGCCACUGAUCCACCCAGCAAGCUGGGCUUCAC